RNAcentral lists this ribosomal RNA (253 nucleotides) under uncultured bacterium. RNAcentral's name for it is "partial 16S ribosomal RNA". It matches the Rfam family "Bacterial small subunit ribosomal RNA", at positions 524 to 776 of the family's 1533-position model. The record is from RNAcentral.
UACGUAGGGCGCAAGCGUUGUCCGGAAUUAUUGGGCGUAAAGAGCUCGUAGGCGGUCUGUCGCGUCUGCUGUGAAAUCCCGAGGCUCAACCUCGGGCUUGCAGUGGGUACGGGCAGGCUAGAGUGCGGUAGGGGAGAAUGGAACUCCUGGUGUAGCGGUGGAAUGCGCAGAUAUCAGGAAGAACACCGAUGGCGAAGGCAGUUCUCUGGGCCGUAACUGACGCUGAGGAGCGAAAGCGUGGGGAGCGAACAGG